This 6524-nucleotide long non-coding RNA is filed under the name Malus domestica (apple). RNAcentral's name for it is "long non-coding RNA (MDOM_LNC004110)". Lineage: Eukaryota; Viridiplantae; Streptophyta; Magnoliopsida; Rosales; Rosaceae. The record is from RNAcentral.
GGCCCUUUACCUCAUCCCUCAAACCUCCACAACUCCCUUGACCUCCUCCUUCACCUCCUUCCCCUUCCCAUCCUUCUCACAAGCACUUUCCUCAACCUCAAAAGCACUUACAGGAAAAGUCCUAAACAACCCAGCAGGGGUCUUGAAGGUGAUCUUCCCAGUUGGAGGGUCAUCAACGUAAAUGUCACUGAGCUGCACCCACACCAAGAGCUCCUUGGUCUUCACCCCUGUCAGCUUCUUGAUCUUGCCCUUCUCAACAAUGGCUGUGACCUCAGGGGCAUAACUGACCAACUUCCCAAUUUUCUCAAACUUGUGGGUGUAGCUCUUCUUCUGUUUGAGCCACACAAAGCCAGUUUCUCGGAUAAUCCCACACUCCUCAAUGUCCUUGAGGGGCAAGAGGCCAUUGGGGAGGGAGAUUUCUGAGAGAAGCUGCUUUGCUUUUUGUUGGCAGAUUUCAUCUCCAUGGUAGAGCUCAUCUGCUUUGGACUUGAUCUCUGCUGUGAUGAGAGAGGACAUUUUGGUCUUUUUCUAAUUUUGUUGGGGAUUGGUCUAUAUUUUGUGAAGGUGGCGAGUAAGUUGAGAGUUGGGGUUGGGAUGUUUGAAGUGGAAAGUGUUGGGGUUUAUGUAGGUGGGGAGAUAGUACUUUGCCCUUGUAGUUUGUCUAAAUCACCAAAAUGCCAUUGGAGUUUUGCCCUUGUAUGUCCAAAAGAAUUGCAAGAUGUGCCAUUUGGGUUUUUUUUUUUUUAACAAACUAUAUUAUUUAUACAUUUUAGGUUUGAUUCCUAAGGUUUAGGGUUUAGGUUUGAUUCCUAGCGCUGGUGAAUCACACGAUGGUAAUCAAAUGGAGGCUAAAAUGUCUUUGUAAGUAUUUCCGGUGCCCGAAAGAGUGGACUGAUAUUGUAAAGCCACCGGUUGAUCUGUUUGAAAAAAAAUAUUUAUCAUCCUUACAUUCAUGCAAAUCAAACGUGAAAUCCAUCCAACCAAAUGAAUACAAAGGAUAACACUCUAAAAAUGUGAUCAUACACACACUCCUUGCUGUACAAAUUUCCCCACAUCCGCAAAAUAAUUAUCACUAAACCAAAAGCUAAUUGGUGAUUGAUUUGAGUUAAGCCCAUGCAACUUAAUCCAUAAACAUCUAACUUAAUCCAUAGUGGUGGAAAUGUGUUGUCAUUACAUGACGACGUGAGUUCGAAUCCCGUCGGUAGCUAAUUUAACAUCUAACUUGAAGAGUAGGGGCCUUUAGGAUCCAUCAUGCACACAUUUGGAAAUGGAUCCUCUUCAGAUCCCUUCCUCCUAAUCCACAAAAUUAGGGAAUCCGUUCUGUUAAAAUUUGAUUCAGGGAAUGAAGUUAUUAUAACUUUUAAAGUGAGCCCCUGUUUAUAACAAUUUGAUCAAAUUUUAACAACACAGAUUCUCUGAUUUUGUGGAUUAGGAGGAAUGGAUCCGGUCCAUUUCCCACACAUUUAUGGUGCAGUUGGGAGGAGUUAUGGUGAAAUUAAGGUUGGGAAGAGGGGGGUUGAGGUGUAGCCACUCAUAUAGCUCCACGUCUAUUGUAGUUGGGGAACGGUAACGAGAUGGGAGAAGAACCGGGAAACAAAAUCACGUCCGCUCACCUCACCUACACCCCUUUAAUUAUUCUUUUUUUUUUUUAAGAUUUUAGUACAUGCAACAAUAAAUAAUUCAAAUUGGGUCCCUUCUUUUACUUCAAUUUUGCUGCUACCUCCCAUCCAACCAACUCUUUAUUUGACAUCUAAAGAUUACUAUUUACAGAAAAAGACAAUGACAAAGAAAAAUGUAGUUCAGACGCUGGCCACUGAUCUAAAAGUUUCCGUCUAACGUUAGUUAGGUCUCGUUUAGUGUCGCUAGGUGACUGACUACUGUUAUGAUAAAUUUCUAUUUAAAAAAAUAAGAAAUGACGUAUAAAUAUGCUUAGAUGGUCACUUGGUUUGUCUAAAUCACAACUCUUAUUUAGACAAAAAAUAAAUUAUUUCUAUUUUGAUUUUAUUUUUUCAAUAAAUUGAGAAUUGUUAAAUAUUUGGAUGAACACUCAUUAUAUGUUUGUUCUUUAUGUUUUCAAUAUGCUCUAAUACUUUAAAAUUGGUCUCAUCGGAUAAAUAUUCAUUACGAUGAUAAAGUACACAGAAGAUAGUCCCAUGGUAAAAAAAAAAUUUGAAUUUAACCCUCGUGGUAUAGUCCUUUAGCAAAUUAAUCCAAAAAUGAUUUUUCUGUUAAAUGUCCGUUAAAUAUAGAAAUAAAAUGUACUUUAACGUGUGCACACCUUCUUCUUCCUACUAUAUUUUGCAUGGAUUUGGAUCGCAUCCGGAUCCAAAUUGUGGGAAUUAUAAGGAUCUUCACAUCUUAGCCAUUCAUCAUGCAUCGUGUAGUAAAAAAUUAUUUGACUUUUUUUAUUUAAAAUUAAACACAAAUAGUAUCUGAUGAAAACUGAUCACACAAUAUAUGAUGAACGGCUAGAAUGUGAGGAUCUUUAAGAUCCUCACAAACAAGGUUCUAAAAGACAUUAGGCGCUCGUCGGGUGCGGGUUGGGGCCUAGGUCCUAAGGGGCUAGGCGGGCGCCUCGGCGGACUAGGCGGAUUUAAGUAAAUAUAUUAUAUUCAUGUAAAUAAGUAUAUGUUUAUACUUAAAAUAUAUAUAAAUUCAUCAUAAACUACAAAAUAGAAUGACAUAUAUAUUAUGAAGUAUUAGAACAUAAUGAAAACAUAGAGAACAUGCAUAUAAUGUGUGUUCAUUGAAUUAUUCAACAAGUCUCUUACAAUAUAUUGAAAAAAAAAUAAAAUGAAAAAUGAAAAAUAUCUAUUUUCUAUAUAAGCUAGUUGCAACAUAGGCAGGUCUAGACGGACGCCUUAGCAGGUUUAUGCGCUCUUUCUUAAUUUUCAAAUACUUAAGCAUUAAUCGGAACGGUGACUAACCGUCUAUGCGCUAGACGAGAAUUUUUAGAACAGUGUCCACAAAAAAGAUCCGGAGAGGAUCCUUUUUUUUAAGAUUUUAGUACAUGCAACAAUAAAUAAUUCAAAUUGGGUUCCUUUUUUUACUUCAAUUUUGCUGCUACCUCCCAUCCAACCAAUUCUUUAUUUGACAUUUAAAGAUUACUAUUUACAGAAAAAGAAAAUGAUAAAGAAAAAUGACAGAAAGAAAAUAAAUUUCAAAAUAAAAAUUAUUUAUUUUCUAUUUAAGUGAGUUGAAACCUAGGCAUGUCUAAGCAGGUGCUUAGGAGGACGUCUUAGCAGGUUUAGACGUCAUUUCUUAAUUUUUAAAUACUUAAACAUUAAUCGAAAUGGUAAUUAACCGUCUAUGCGCUAGACAAAAUUUUUUAAAAUAGUGUCCACAAAAAAGAUCCUGAGGAUCUCUUCCUAAUAGAGCAACAACUCAAGAAAGCCGUACAUAAAAAGGGACAGCUAUUCGCACACGCUUGUUCAUCCAAAUCUCCACCGCGCCAUAAGUCGGUCGCCUUUUCCAACACCAAGUGAACGUCUAGUAACAAACAAAAAACAACACGUUUGCACAAACAAAUUAAGCAAAAAAUGGUUCAAGAAUAUGUAAAGAGAUUGUAUUGAUAAAUUAGUUAAUUACCUUGGAAUAAGACUUCUUCCAAUUCACCUUUUCACCGUUCGCCUUUUCCAACACCAAUUCACCGUUCGCCCCAACUUUUUCCCCAAAACAAAAUAUCCUGCAAACCCACAAGAAUGCGGGUCUAAAUUUUUUAAACUAAAUGAUGUGGUUGUUGAUGAUCAAAUUAUUACUUAAGUAUUGAUUAAUGUAAUUAUUUUCUAUUAAUGACACAUCAUUUAAUUAAAAUUUUGAUAUCCCUAGCAUUACCCAACCCACAAAUAUCAACACAAAACCCACUUCAGAAUUUCAAUCAAAAUCCAUAAUUUAAACAAAAAUAUGACAGACGCCCAAAACAAGAACAGCACCGGGAGCCGUGAGCAUCAAGCCAUUGGAUUUGGGGACUAGUGCUUCUGUAUGUGAUGUCACUGCACUCCCAUCACGGUGCACGGCAGCCCCAAUCCCACACCCAGAAACGUGUCAUGGAGAGGUGUGGUUGGAUCAACUCGAUGCCGCCAGAUGUGAACACCAGCAGCGUUUUGGAAUUUGAGAUUGUGAUUCUGAAUGAACUAGGUUGCUGGGAUUCGAAUGUGAGUUUGGUUUUGAGUUUUCUGUCGAGAAAUGGUGAGGUGCGUUUUGAUUGGUGAGGACAUAGCUUGGCCUCUCCGAUGAAGGACCAUGUGCUUGCUGGUAUACAAGAUGCAAAUACAACAUCCUAAAAUGGAAGAAAGUGAGAUUACAAAGAGAGGGAAGAUGAAGGUGUACGGGUCAAAUUACAUUUUUAUUCUGUAUUUAAUGAACAUUUAACUGAAAAUCAACUUUGGACUAAAUUUGCUAAAGUUGCAUACCACCACGAAGAAAAAUGAUGUUACAAUCUAAGGGGAGAAUUUGAGCUUAGACGUUUUUUCAUAUUGAAAGAUGAAUUUAAAAAAAACUAAAUGUUUAUCGAAAGAAAAAUUCAAAUUUAGAUGCAUGACGAUGCAACAGAUUAAUUAUAAUAGAGUUAGUCAAUUACGAUACAAAAGUUGGGCACCAUGAGAAAGGGUCUACAAAUUCCCCCAUUUUGCAAAAAGUAUUACGUAAAUAAAAGUAUGGGACAAGCUUGUAAACUUGGUUUACCCAAAAAGGAUAAAAUGCCCCAUCUCUAUAAAUUUUCUGUCUCCAAGAUAUUUUCUUUUAAGUGCAUGUAUUCAUAAAGUCUAGGAUGAUGUGUUAACUUUUCUUAAUUUGUAAGAUUUUAAUUUUUUUGGAAGUUUUGGCAAUUGUUUUGUUAUUUUGGAUCCGUUUCACAUUAUCAUUUGGUUUGAAGUUACUUAUUUUUCACUACAUUGACUCUUGUCAAUUUAAAUUUCAAAGACAACAUUGUUCGAGCAAAAACAAAUGAACAAACAAAUUUUGUUUUUUGCUUGACUAUAAGGAUGACGAUGACAUUUUUUUUCAAAACAUUUAUACAUCAAAUUGAAUAACAUAAUUUUUACAUCUUAAGUUCGAUUUCUGGUACUGGUGAAUCAUGUACUCGAUGAUGGCAGAGGAGGUUGAAAUGCCAUUUCGGCCUGCAAAAUAGUAGAUUGUCGUAGCGAAGUUACCCGCUAAUCCGUUCUUUAAAAUAAUGAAAUAUUUAUAAAACUUUGCUUGCGAAAUAAGUACGAUAGAGAAGUAAAAUAUUAAUGAUUGUGUAUCAACAUGGCCUCGCAACAUAAAUUAGCACUCAACAUCUAUAAAUGCAUUAACUUUCCAAUAAAUAAUAAGAAUUACUCAUAAAUUUGAGUGUAGCCGAAUUAGUUGAGUAGCUGACGACGUAUUCACCUAAAUUCAAGUCUUACCCUUUUCCUCUAUACCCAUGCCCAACGGCGCCGCCAGGAGCGACGUCGACGCCACCCGUCGGCCCGAAUGACACUGGGCCGGACCCGGUCAACGUGGUGUUGGGCCCAGGCCCAGUAGCUAUCCUAGUUGAAAUGGGGCCCGCCAGCUGCGGCUCUUGAUUGGGCUGAUCCAAAAGAUACGCAGACGUAUCAAGGGUCGGCAUGCAGAGGCCGACAACACCGGCCAACCGGCUACCGGGUCUCUGUGGCUCCGGCUUCAGAACCGACGGCAUAGUGACUUGUCCGUUACCGAAUCUUACGCCGGUCACCUGUUGCACCAUCUGUCGGAAGUUGCUCAGGUCCGCCGUGAUGAAAGUCGUCUGGGACCGUUUCGACGCGGGAGACUUGCGUUUCGAAACCUUACCACUACCAUUCGCCACCGGAAUCGCGUUUCUCUGCUGGCGUUUAAGGGGAGCGGCAGCCGAAUCCAAAUCGUCCGAGCCGGAGAGUCCCGAAACGGUGGGGGUGGGGGCCGCUUCGGGUGUUUGAACGAUGGUGUUGAGAAAAGGCAUGAAAAAAUCGGCGGAGGAAGAAUCGAGCGGCUCCGGGUUGUUUCCGGAGAGGGACUUCUGGGGCGCCAUGGUGAGGGUUUUGGUGUCGCGGGAAAUGGCGUCGGAGAUCCAGGAGUCGGCGAAGGUGUUGGGCCUGAAAGCCCACGGCUCCAUCAUGCUCGCCACGUUCUCUGACGACGCCAUUAAGCAGCUCAAUCAACUAAAAAUUCAAAAUUUAAAACUGAAAAUUUGAAUUUGAGCAACUGGGUUUUUGUGAAAUCAAUCGGAUUUCAGAUCAUUCUUUUCCGUACGCACUUACAGGAAAAGUCCUAAACAACCCAGCAGGGGUCUUGAAGGUGAUCUUCCCAGUUGGAGGGUCAUCAACGUAAAUGUCACUGAGCUGCACCCACACCAAGAGCUCCUUGGUCUUCACCCCUGUCAGCUUCUUGAUCUUGCCCUUCUCAACAAUGGCUGUGAUCUCAGGGGCAUAACUGACCAACUUCCCAAUUUUCUCAUACUUGUGAGUGUAGCUCUUCUUCUGCUUGAGCCACACAAAGCCAGUUUCUCUGAUAAUCCCACACUCCUCAACGUCCUUGAGGGGCAAGAG